CUCGUCCCUCAUGGGAAAAUCUCGGGACUGAGGCAGAGCCCAGGUUGGAAUUCCAACUCUGCUAUCCGCAACCUUGGGCAAGGCACUUCCCUCCUGGCCCAGUUCAGAGCUGAGAUGAAAUUGAGAUCACUUCAAUGCUAGGGGUGGAGAUUGGCACUUUCUCCUUUGUCACUCCCAGCCCAUGUCCACUUCAGAGCAACACACUCUGGCUGGUAGCCUCUUCUCUGGGGCAGUGGGUUAUCAGGGAAGUCACAUGUCCCAACCCUGCCAAUUCCAAAGCUCCAGGAACUCUGCUGUCCAAGGGGUAGUGCACUGGGUAGUGCGCAAGGAGGUGAAAGGGCAAGGUCACGUGAGCCAGAGCCCCAAAGGGUCUUACUUCAUUCAGGAUGGGCAUCCUGUUUCCUCAGGCUCUGCCGGGAUUCCAGGGGCUUAAUGGAAUGAGUCAUGGGUGGGAGUUAUUGGGGAGUUCCCAGCUAAUCAGCUUGGGACAGGACAGCCUGAAACGAGGGAUGGUGCCUAUCCAAGCUUUGGGUGGGCACAGGAGGCAAGACCCCAAUAUCUCAGGUCCCUGUCCCUGCAGGAGUUUGGGAAUAAGAAUAGGGACAACUAGCUUUUGCCUUCUCUUUUAGAAUUUUUUUUCACAUUUUUACAGUUUAUUGUGUGCCCCCCAUAGCAGAGUCAUAGUUGGUACAUUCUCCUCCAUGAUUUGACCUAAGACAGUAACACAGCUAGGGGCAUGAAAUAAGAAGAACAGCUUAAGUUUCUAAAUUAUGUCUCUUUUUUAAAAAUAUCUUUUAUUUUAUUUUCUAAUUUGUUCUAAUUUGUUAUACAUGACAGUAGAAUGCACUUUGACACAUUGUACACAAAUGGAGCACAAUCUUUUAGAAUUUUUACCUAAGAUAAAGCGAGGGGCAAAAGGAGCUGCCCAGCACAUCUGCCA
RNAcentral lists this long non-coding RNA (940 nucleotides) under Marmota monax (woodchuck). The record is from RNAcentral. Lineage: Eukaryota; Metazoa; Chordata; Mammalia; Rodentia; Sciuridae.